Molecule: long non-coding RNA, 2699 nt
Filed under: Salmo salar (Atlantic salmon)
Lineage: Eukaryota; Metazoa; Chordata; Actinopteri; Salmoniformes; Salmonidae
Description: lncRNA (ENSSSAG00000094252.1)
Source: RNAcentral
AAAUAUGCGUUGGUACUUAAUGAAUAUGAUGUCAGUUCGGUUGUCAUCUGAGACAUUAUGACUGAUGACAGGACGACAUAAACUGUAUCUGGGAAAGUCUACACAUUCUAGUUAUCAGAUUCACAUGGAAUUGUUGUGCAAUUUAAAUGUUUGAAUAUGAAGCUAUUAGUGAAAAGAUUAAAUGUAAUUUUAGCUUCCAAAUUAGAGAAUUGGGUUUUCAUAAGGUUAGAGCCCUGCUCAAUCAGUGGCCCGCCCCUGUGAAGAGACAUAGGUUAUAAACUAUGAAACACACCGUUCUCUCCCUCCACUAUAUAAGCCCUUGACGAAAAUGUAACCUUCUGUUCCGAGGACGUGAGGACGACGGUCCCAUACGUUAAAAAGGACUAACAUGUCAACUACAGAACUAAGCCAACCUCAGCGUGAGCUUUGGUUGUGAAUGGUAUGAACUUUGAACUCUUAUUCACUAAAGACGUGAGAUAUCCUAGCCAUUGAGUUAGCAACAGCAGCUGUAAACGUGGGCUAGGAAAGGACGGACGACGUAUCCAGUCUAACACACAACGAAGAUACUACAACGUAUCCAAUUUACCACCAGAGACAUUCUUCCGAGGACAGCAAGAUCUCUGUUGGGCAACACGACCAGCAUCUACGACCAACCUACCGAAGCGCAGCUCAGAGACCUGAGCCCUAGGACCAUGCCUCAGGACUACCUGGUAUGAUGACUCCUUGCUGUCCCCAGUCCACCUGGCCGUGUUGCUGCUCCAGUUUCAGCUGUUCUGCCUGCGGCUAUGGAACCCUGACCUGUUCACCGGACGUGCUUGUUGCACCCUCGACAACUACUAUGAUUAUUAUUAUUUGACCAUGCUGGUCAUUUAUGAACAUUUUAACAUCUUGACCAUGUUCUGUUAUAAUAUCCACCCUGCACAGCCAGAAGAGGACUGGCCACCCCUCAUAGCCUGGUUCCUCUCUAGGUUUCUUCCUAGGUUUUUGGCCUUUCUAGGGAGUUUUUCCUAGGGAGUUUUUCCUAGCCACCAUGCUUCUUUCACAUGCAUUGCUUGCUGUUUGGGGUUUUAGGCUGGGUUUCUGUACAGCACUUUGAGAUAUCAGCUGAUGUACGAAGGGCUAUAUAAAUUAAUUUGAUUCGAUUUGAUUUGAUAUAGGAAUCGUUUUACUGUGGAUAUAGAUACUUUUGUACCUGUUUCCUCUAGCAUCUUCAAAGGUCUUUUGCUGUUGUCCUGGGAUUGAUUUGCACUUUUCGCACCAAAGUAUGUUAAUCUCUAGGAGACAGAAUGUGUCUCUUUCCUGAGCGGUAUGACGGCUGCGUGGUCCCAUGGUGUUUAUACUUGCGUACUAUUGUUUGUACAGAUGAACGUGGUACCUUCAGGCGUUUGGAAAUUGCUCCCAAGGAUGAACCAGACUUGUGGAGGUCUACAAUUUGGAGGUCUUGGCUGAUUUCUUUUGAUUUUCCCAUGAUAUCAAGCAGAGGCACUGAGUUUGAAGGAUGGCUUUGAAAUACAUCCACAGGUACACCUCCAAUUGACUCAAACAAUGUCAAUUAGCCUAUCCGAAGCUUCUAAAGCCGUGACAUAAUUUUCUGGAAUUUUCCAAGAUGUUUGAAGGCACAGUGAACUUAGUGUAUGUUAACUCUGACCCACUGGAAUUGUGAUACAGUGAACUAUAAGUGAAAUAAUCUGUCUGUAAACAAUUGUUUGAAAAAUUACUUGUGUCAUGCACAAAAUAGAUGUCCUAACCGACUUGCCAAAACUGUAGUUUGUUAACAAGAAAUUUGUGGAGUGGUAGGAAAAUGAGUUUUAAUGACUCCAACCUAAGUGUAUGUAAACUUCAACUGUGUAAUAUAUAUAUAUAUUUGUACUGGAGGAUAGUUGCCAGGUUCAACAAAAAACCUGUAGAAUGUGUUGUGUCCCCUCUCUGUUAAAAAAAUAACUUGAAUUCCUUCAGUCUUUUGUCAUGUUUUUUCUUUAUACACUAAUGGGCGAUGAGAGAUAUCCAAGUAAACAUCACAAAUUUUGAAUUGUUUUAUGAAAUCGCCAGUGUCUCUCAAAUAUGAGGGCAAUUGUCUUAUACUGGGGCGUAUAACUUCAAUUGAAGUUGUUAGAAUAGUGGAAUACACAAGGUGCAAUAUUCAAAUUUGGGAUUGCAUCAGCAGUUUUCCUCAUGUCAAUCACUGACAGUCACUCAAUUAGCCCAUGUCAGCUAACAUUUUAUAGAUUGAUAGGUAAGUUAGUCUAGCCAGCUAUCUAAACAUUUGGAGCAAUCAUGGCUGAGUAAUCAGGGGCCCUGACCUCCAGGCGUCCCCAUUGAUUUUGUUAGUCCCUCUCACUCAGAUAUCCUAUGCACAUGGCAAAAUGUGUAAAAUUGCAACCAAAUCUUGCUUAGGGACCCAAAAAGUGACUGAUGAUUGGCUGAAAGAAAUCGAUAUAAAGAAAAUUAUGGGAGCUGUUUUGUUAGACUUCAGUGCAGCUUUUGACAUUAUCAAUCAUAGUUUGCUGCUGAAAAAACAGGUGUGGUAUGGCUUUACAUUGUCUGCCACACAGAGGGUGUUCUUUAAUGGAAGCCUAUUACUAAUGACCUUGUCAUGUCCUGACCAGUAUAGAGGAUAUUUGGUUAUUGUAGUUUUGUCAGGACGUGGCAGAGGGGAGUUGAUGUAUGUGUAUGGGGUUUGUCACUGGUCUAUGUCUGUG